RNAcentral lists this ribosomal RNA (466 nucleotides) under uncultured bacterium. Its description in RNAcentral is "partial 16S ribosomal RNA". It matches the Rfam family "Bacterial small subunit ribosomal RNA", at positions 28 to 507 of the family's 1533-position model. The record is from RNAcentral.
GAUGAACGCUGGCGGCGUGCUUAACACAUGCAAGUCGAACGAUGAAGCCCAGCUUGCUGGGUGGAUUAGUGGCGAACGGGUGAGUAACACGUGAGUAACCUGCCCUUAACUCUGGGAUAAGCCUGGGAAACUGGGUCUAAUACCGGAUAGGAGCGCCUACCGCAGGGUGGGUGUUGGAAAGAUUUAUCGGUUUUGGAUGGACUCGCGGCCUAUCAGCUUGUUGGUGAGGUAAUGGCUCACCAAGGCGACGACGGGUAGCCGGCCUGAGAGGGUGAACGGCAACACUGGGACUGAGACGCGGCCCAGACUCCUCCGGGAGGCAGCAGUGGGGAAUAUUGCACAAUGGGAGAAAGCCUGAUGCAGCGACGCCGCGUGAGGGAUGACGGCCUUCGGGUUGUAAACCUCUUUCAGUAGGGAAGAAGCGAAAGUGACGGUACCUGCAGAAGAAGCACCGGCUAACUACGUG